AGCGCGGAGGGCGGGACUUGGAAGAGGAGAGUCGGUCUCCAUGGCAACGCGGGGCGCUGACGGGGCUCCAGCCUCUCCGGCGGCGGCGUCGAGGUUUCCCCGGAGGGAGCGGGGCCGCGCGGGGAAGAUCAGUUUGGAACUCCACAGUCCUAGUGACUGCAAUUGCUUAGGCAAGGAAAAUGAGCUCUGAAGAUGUUUGGAAAAGGGAUGAUUCUGAAGAAGAAGAAGAAGAGUAUGUUUCCAGUGAGUCAGAAGAACAAUCUGAACCAGAAUUGGAACCAGAGGAUCCUGAAGAUCCUAUUUAUGCCACAGCUCCAACAGUUAAUAUUCGGGAUGAAGGUUCCAUUGACGUGCACACAUGUCCUGCCUUUCAGUGCCUUGAUGAGGUAGUGUACUCUUAGUUUCCUUUAUGUCAGCAUGAUAGAUACUAUUUUCAGUUGAAUUGCCUCUGUAGGAAAUUAAAAACAAAGCAACUUUUAAGUACCUAUUGUGAAAAUAGCAUUGAUCCAUCACAACAGCAACUGAAAACAAGAUACAGGAAACCAUCUUGUCAAAAAGCAUGCAAACUGAAAUAAAACAAAUGAAAAACUCUGCACUGUUAUCCAAGCACACCACUUUGCCUUAUUGGGGUAAUGUUCUUGACUUUGGUGGAAUGUUCAUUAUCUCGUUUCCACAAAUAUGUUAAACAGAAUUCCUAAGAGUCCCUUUCAAGGCUUUGCAUAAGAAACAGCAAGGCAUAGAAUAUGUGUCAAAUGUAAACUGUUACUUUGCAGAGCUGACACGAUUGCUCUUUAUAGUGAUCUGUUCCAGGGGUAAUCAGCUUGGUGCCUUUGAAAUACAGUGAUACCUCGGGUUACAUACGCUUCAGGUUACA
This is a non-coding RNA of Podarcis muralis (Common wall lizard), 874 nucleotides long. The record is from RefSeq and is a predicted model, not a curated record. Lineage: Eukaryota; Metazoa; Chordata; Lepidosauria; Squamata; Lacertidae.